Molecule: long non-coding RNA, 384 nt
Organism: Cyanistes caeruleus (blue tit)
Lineage: Eukaryota; Metazoa; Chordata; Aves; Passeriformes; Paridae
Source: RefSeq, a predicted model, not a curated record
ACUAAUACUUGAGUGAACUGUUUUUGAGCUUUACUAUAAUGGGAUCCUGGGAAUAUAAACCAUGCAAACUCUUUCUUGCACGUGACUUGUGAAGCAAACAUUUGGAUUAGUGAAAGUUAUAAAAAAAUGCAACAUUAAGAGACCUGGUGAGCCUGGAUUCAACCUAGACAGAGAAGUUUAGUCAAAUUACCCUGUUUUUCUGGAGUUGCCACUUACCCAGAAUUUAAUUGGAGUCUCUUACACAAAGGCUUAUCCUGGAGAUUUGGAGUUUAUACCUCCAAACACAUCGAACACAUGCAAGCCUCGAAGUUAUAAUCAUUCCUCUGCAUUAUAUCCAGGAAAAGGGUCUUCCCCCAAAACUCCAAGCAUUGAAAUCCCAUAAGA